GAGCACCGGGUCUUCGAGGUGAUCGAAGGGGAUCGAGAACAGCGUCUUCUUUGCGGCUUCGAUCUCGAUGAUCAAAGGCCGGUAGAGGAAAAGCGGCGCGCGCGCGAAGUCGCUUGC
Molecule: small RNA, 117 nt
Filed under: Sinorhizobium meliloti 2011
Lineage: Bacteria; Pseudomonadati; Pseudomonadota; Alphaproteobacteria; Hyphomicrobiales; Rhizobiaceae
Description: putative ncRNA
Source: RNAcentral